GCGGAGGAAAAGGAAUUAACAAAGAUUCCCCCAGUAACGGCGAGUGAAGUGGGAUUUAGCCCAGCACCGAAUCCUAGCGGCCGAUGUGUCGCGUGGACCUGUGGUGUUAGGGGCCCCGGACUUCGUCCUGCUUGUGGCGCCUCAGUUUCAUUGAAAGGGCUUUUGCUCCAGAGCGGGUGUCAGACCCUUGUGUAGCGCACGAGCGGAUGAAGUUCUCAGGGGCCCCACGAGUCGGGUUGUUUGAGAGUGCAGCCCAAAGACGGUGGUAAGCUCCAUCGAAGGCUAAACACUGCCACGAGUCCGAUAGCGAACAAGUACCGUGAGGGAACGUUGAAAAGGACUUCGAAGAGAGAGUUCAAGAGUACGUGAAACCGCCUAAAGGGAAACGAGUGGCUCCGCAUUGUCGGCCUGCGGUGUUCAUUUCGCUCGCUUGAGCGACCGGUCGUUCGAUGGUCUUGCUUCUCGCUUGAUCUCGGUGCGAUGCUGGUCACUCGCCUGGCGAGCGUGUGCACUUGCCGCGAGGCAGGGCGUCAUGAUCGCUUCUAUCUGGUGCGCGACCGUCGGUGGAGUUGGCGUGGGCGAUCGUCUCUUCGUGGGACAUUCGACUUGCGCGGCCUGCCUUCCCGCGUGUCUGGGAGCGUGUAACGAUCGGCUCGACUUCGUCGGUUGCCGUCUUCGCUGCUUAGACCAAUCGUCGGUUCGCAUUCGUGCGACCGUGCGGUGGUCCUGGCUCGGAGCUAGGCGAUUGGCGUGCAGGGCCUUGCAUCGGUGGCGAUUG
Molecule: ribosomal RNA, 778 nt
Filed under: Cocculinidae sp. MNHN IM 2013-42604
Lineage: Eukaryota; Metazoa; Mollusca; Gastropoda; Cocculinidae
Description: partial large subunit ribosomal RNA
Rfam family: Eukaryotic large subunit ribosomal RNA
Source: RNAcentral